This 497-nucleotide ribosomal RNA is filed under the name uncultured bacterium. RNAcentral describes it as "partial 16S ribosomal RNA". It matches the Rfam family "Bacterial small subunit ribosomal RNA", at positions 28 to 507 of the family's 1533-position model. The record is from RNAcentral.
GAUGAACGCUGGCGGCGUGCCUAAUACAUGCAAGUCGAGCGAACAGACGAGGAGCUUGCUCCUCUGACGUUAGCGGCGGACGGGUGAGUAACACGUGGAUAACCUACCUAUAAGACUGGGAUAACUUCGGGAAACCGGAGCUAAUACCGGAUAAUAUAUUGAACCGCAUGGUUCAAUAGUGAAAGACGGUUUUGCUGUCACUUAUAGAUGGAUCCGCGCCGCAUUAGCUAGUUGGUAAGGUAACGGCUUACCAAGGCAACGAUGCGUAGCCGACCUGAGAGGGUGAUCGGUCACACUGGAACUGAGACACGGUCCAGACUCCUACGGGAGGCAGCAGUAGGGAAUCUUCCGCAAAGGGCGAAAGCCUGACGGAGCAACGCCGCGUAAGUGAUGAAGGUCUUCGGAUCGUAAAACUCUGUUAUUAGGGAAGAACAAAUGUGUAAGUAACUAUGCACGUCUUGACGGUACCUAAUCAGAAAGCCACGGCUAACUACGUG